ACAGCUUGUUAUACUAUAAAAACGUAUCUCUAUAAUCAAACAAUUAGAUCAAAAUUAUGAAUGUACAUGAUUAAUUGACUGGCCGCCUCACGUGAAAUUGAGGUGGUCAAUGUGUUACCUUAGACAACAUGUUAUACCAUGCAUAGGCAGAUUUCACACAAAUCUAAAGGAUUAAUUUGUGAGUUAAAAAGUAAAAAGGAAAAGUGCAAAGCAUUUUGUAGUCUCGUGUGGGAUACAUUUAUGCAAAUUAAAUGAGGAUUUUUAAAACGUGUUCGUUUAUCGUACAUUGUAUAGUUAAUUUUAAUCAAGUAUUGUUCAUAUUUAAUUUUAAAUAAAAGUAUUUAAAAUCAUUUGUAACCACACAAUAUACAAUAAACGGACACAAUUUAAGAAUCUUUAGAAUUCUGACAAAGAGCAUCCGGAUCCUCAUUCAUGCAAAUUGGACACGAUUGAUGUGCAAAAGAUCUGCUCAAAAUUGAUAUCCCAAGUCCAAACAAAAUCGGUGAGGGCAUUGAUGUCACUUCAUAAAUUUAUCAGGGCUCUGUCGUUUUCCGUAACAGCAUCAGAUAGGGGUAUUCUUGUCUUUUACCCUAAAAUAGUCCGCUAGGGGUUUCUUCUUUGAGUUUUAUCUGUCAGGACUGUUUCAUAUGGUUGCAUGUUAAAAAAGGGAGCCAAUCGAGAGAAACCUCCUAACCAAGUACUGUGGAU
This 708-nucleotide long non-coding RNA is filed under the name Malus domestica (apple). Its description in RNAcentral is "long non-coding RNA (MDOM_LNC015193)". The record is from RNAcentral. Lineage: Eukaryota; Viridiplantae; Streptophyta; Magnoliopsida; Rosales; Rosaceae.